Molecule: ribosomal RNA, 591 nt
Filed under: uncultured Propionibacterium sp.
Lineage: Bacteria; Bacillati; Actinomycetota; Actinomycetes; Propionibacteriales; Propionibacteriaceae
Description: bacterial SSU rRNA
Rfam family: Bacterial small subunit ribosomal RNA
Source: RNAcentral
UUAGAGUUUGAUCCUGGCUCAGGACGAACGCUGGCGGCGUGCUUAACACAUGCAAGUCGAACGGAAAGGCCCUGCUUUUGUGGGGUGCUCGAGUGGCGAACGGGUGAGUAACACGUGAGUAACCUGCCCUUGACUUUGGGAUAACUUCAGGAAACUGGGGCUAAUACCGGAUAGGAGCUCCUGCUGCAUGGUGGGGGUUGGAAAGUUUCGGCGGUUGGGGAUGGACUCGCGGCUUAUCAGCUUGUUGGUGGGGUAGUGGCUUACCAAGGCUUUGACGGGUAGCCGGCCUGAGAGGGUGACCGGCCACAUUGGGACUGAGAUACGGCCCAGACUCCUACGGGAGGCAGCAGUGGGGAAUAUUGCACAAUGGGCGGAAGCCUGAUGCAGCAACGCCGCGUGCGGGAUGACGGCCUUCGGGUUGUAAACCGCUUUCGCCUGUGACGAAGCGUGAGUGACGGUAAUGGGUAAAGAAGCACCGGCUAACUACGUGCCAGCAGCCGCGGUGAUACGUAGGGUGCGAGCGUUGUCCGGAUUUAUUGGGCGUAAAGGGCUCGUAGGUGGUUGAUCGCGUCGGAAGUGUAAUCUUGGGGC